RNAcentral lists this ribosomal RNA (484 nucleotides) under uncultured bacterium. RNAcentral's name for it is "partial 16S ribosomal RNA". It matches the Rfam family "Bacterial small subunit ribosomal RNA", at positions 30 to 507 of the family's 1533-position model. The record is from RNAcentral.
AUUGAACGCUGGCGGCAGGCCUAACACAUGCAAGUCGAGCGGAUGAAGGGAGCUUGCUCCUGGAUUCAGCGGCGGACGGGUGAGUAAUGCCUAGGAAUCUGCCUGGUAGUGGGGGAUAACGUCCGGAAACGGGCGCUAAUACCGCAUACGUCCUGAGGUAGAAAGUGGGGGAUCUUCGGACCUCACGCUAUCAGAUGAGCCUAGGUCGGAUUAGCUAGUUGGUAGGGUAAAGGCCUACCAAGGCGACGAUCCGUAACUGGUCUGAGAGGAUGAUCAGUCACACUGGAACUGAGACACGGUCCAGACUCCUACGGGAGGCAGCAGUGGGGAAUAUUGGACAAUGGGCGAAAGCCUGAUCCAGCCAUGCCGCGUGUGUGAAGAAGGUCUUCGGAUUGUAAAGCACUUUAAGUAGGGAGGAAGGGCAGUAAGUUAAUACCUUGCUGUUUUGACGUUACCAACAGAAUAAGCACCGGCUAACUUCGUG